Long non-coding RNA from Ceratosolen solmsi marchali, 120 nucleotides. RefSeq lists it as uncharacterized. The record is from RefSeq and is a predicted model, not a curated record. NCBI's taxonomy places the organism in Eukaryota, Metazoa, Arthropoda, Insecta, Hymenoptera, Agaonidae. The transcript is spliced from 2 exons.
CGACAUAAUUGGUACCUAAUAAGAGUUGGAAGGAAGUGCUUGAUCAUAACUUCAGUUUCAAAAGGUGCUCGAUUACUUCGGAUUGACCGAAGCUAGAUGGACAAUAAUAAAUUAAACCAG